CUGGGCUCCUAUUUUGUUGGUUUCUAGUCGGGCUCGGUAAUGAUUAAUAGAAACAGUUGGGGUGGUUCAUAUUUAAUUGUCAGAGGUGAAAUUCUUGGAUUUAUGAAAGAUGAACUUCUGCGAAAGCAUUCCACAAGGAUGUUUUCAUUGAUCAAGAACGAAAGUUAAGGGAUCGAAGACGAUCAGAUACCGUCGUAGUCUUAACCAUAAACCAUGCCGACCAGGGAUUGGGGGACGUUACAAUUCCAAAACGACUCCUCCAGCACCUUGCGAGAAAUCACAAGUCUUUGGGUUCCGGGGGGAGUAUGGUCGCAAGGCUGAAACUUAAAGGAAUUGACGGAAGGGCACCACCAGGGGUGGAACCUGCGGCUUAAUUUGACUCAACACGGGGAAACUCACCAGGUCCAGACACAGUGAGGAUUGACAGAUUGAUAGCUCUUUCUUGAUUCUGUGGGUGGUGGUGCAUGGCCGUUCUUAGUUGGUGGAGUGAUUUGUCAGCUUAAUUGCGAUAGCGAACGAGACCUUAACCUGCUAAAUAGCCCCUAUUGCCUCGGCAGUAGGCUGGCUUCCUAGAGGGACUAUCGGCUCAAGCCGAUGGAAGUUUGAGGCAAUAACAGGUCUGUGAUGCCCUUAGAUGUCCUGGCCGCACGCGCGUUACACUGACAAAGCCAGCGAGUAUUUCCUUGGCCGGAAGGCCCGGGUAAUCUUGUUAAACUUUGUCGUGC
RNAcentral lists this ribosomal RNA (725 nucleotides) under uncultured fungus. Its description in RNAcentral is "bacterial SSU rRNA". It matches the Rfam family "Eukaryotic small subunit ribosomal RNA", at positions 828 to 1570 of the family's 1831-position model. The record is from RNAcentral. Lineage: Eukaryota; Fungi.